This 84-nucleotide transfer RNA is filed under the name Panus rudis PR-1116 ss-1. RNAcentral's name for it is "tRNA-Pro". It matches the Rfam family "tRNA". From Rfam's summary of the family: Transfer RNA (tRNA) molecules are approximately 80 nucleotides in length. Their secondary structure includes four short double-helical elements and three loops (D, anti-codon, and T loops). Further hydrogen bonds mediate the characteristic L-shaped molecular structure. tRNAs have two regions of fundamental functional importance: the anti-codon, which is responsible for specific mRNA codon recognition, and the 3' end, to which the tRNAs corresponding amino acid is attached (by aminoacyl-tRNA synthetases). tRNAs cope with the degeneracy of the genetic code in two manners: having more than one tRNA (with a specific anti-codon) for a particular amino acid; and 'wobble' base-pairing, i.e. permitting non-standard base-pairing at the 3rd anti-codon position. The record is from RNAcentral. Lineage: Eukaryota; Fungi; Basidiomycota; Agaricomycetes; Polyporales; Panaceae.
GGCCUGGUGGUCUAGUAGUAUGAUUCCUUCUUAGGGUUGCUUGCCAUAUGGAGGAGGUCCCGGGUUCAAUUCCCGGCCAGGCCC